This 1376-nucleotide ribosomal RNA is filed under the name Streptococcus thermophilus. RNAcentral describes it as "bacterial SSU rRNA". It matches the Rfam family "Bacterial small subunit ribosomal RNA", at positions 78 to 1441 of the family's 1533-position model. Lineage: Bacteria; Bacillati; Bacillota; Bacilli; Lactobacillales; Streptococcaceae. The record is from RNAcentral.
GCUUGCUCUUCUUGGAUGAGUUGCGAACGGGUGAGUAACGCGUAGGUAACCUGCCUUGUAGCGGGGGAUAACUAUUGGAAACGAUAGCUAAUACCGCAUAACAAUGGAUGACACAUGUCAUUUAUUUGAAAGGGGCAAUUGCUCCACUACAAGAUGGACCUGCGUUGUAUUAGCUAGUAGGUGAGGUAAUGGCUCACCUAGGCGACGAUACAUAGCCGACCUGAGAGGGUGAUCGGCCACACUGGGACUGAGACACGGCCCAGACUCCUACGGGAGGCAGCAGUAGGGAAUCUUCGGCAAUGGGGGCAACCCUGACCGAGCAACGCCGCGUGAGUGAAGAAGGUUUUCGGAUCGUAAAGCUCUGUUGUAAGUCAAGAACGGGUGUGAGAGUGGAAAGUUCACACUGUGACGGUAGCUUACCAGAAAGGGACGGCUAACUACGUGCCAGCAGCCGCGGUAAUACGUAGGUCCCGAGCGUUGUCCGGAUUUAUUGGGCGUAAAGCGAGCGCAGGCGGUUUGAUAAGUCUGAAGUUAAAGGCUGUGGCUCAACCAUAGUUCGCUUUGGAAACUGUCAAACUUGAGUGCAGAAGGGGAGAGUGGAAUUCCAUGUGUAGCGGUGAAAUGCGUAGAUAUAUGGAGGAACACCGGUGGCGAAAGCGGCUCUCUGGUCUGUAACUGACGCUGAGGCUCGAAAGCGUGGGGAGCGAACAGGAUUAGAUACCCUGGUAGUCCACGCCGUAAACGAUGAGUGCUAGGUGUUGGAUCCUUUCCGGGAUUCAGUGCCGCAGCUAACGCAUUAAGCACUCCGCCUGGGGAGUACGACCGCAAGGUUGAAACUCAAAGGAAUUGACGGGGGCCCGCACAAGCGGUGGAGCAUGUGGUUUAAUUCGAAGCAACGCGAAGAACCUUACCAGGUCUUGACAUCCCGAUGCUAUUUCUAGAGAUAGAAAGUUACUUCGGUACAUCGGUGACAGGUGGUGCAUGGUUGUCGUCAGCUCGUGUCGUGAGAUGUUGGGUUAAGUCCCGCAACGAGCGCAACCCCUAUUGUUAGUUGCCAUCAUUCAGUUGGGCACUCUAGCGAGACUGCCGGUAAUAAACCGGAGGAAGGUGGGGAUGACGUCAAAUCAUCAUGCCCCUUAUGACCUGGGCUACACACGUGCUACAAUGGUUGGUACAACGAGUUGCGAGUCGGUGACGGCGAGCUAAUCUCUUAAAGCCAAUCUCAGUUCGGAUUGUAGGCUGCAACUCGCCUACAUGAAGUCGGAAUCGCUAGUAAUCGCGGAUCAGCACGCCGCGGUGAAUACGUUCCCGGGCCUUGUACACACCGCCCGUCACACCACGAGAGUUUGUAACACCCGAAGUCGGUGAGGUAACUU